UGGGGAAUAUUGCACAAUGGGCGCAAGCCUGAUGCAGCCAUGCCGCGUGUAUGAAGAAGGCCUUCGGGUUGUAAAGUACUUUCAGCGGGGAGGAAGGCGAUGCGGUUAAUAACCGCGUCGAUUGACGUUACCCGCAGAAGAAGCACCGGCUAACUCCGUGCCAGCAGCCGCGGUAAUACGGAGGGUGCAAGCGUUAAUCGGAAUUACUGGGCGUAAAGCGCACGCAGGCGGUCUGUCAAGUCGGAUGUGAAAUCCCCGGGCUCAACCUGGGAACUGCAUCCGAAACUGGCAGGCUUGAGUCUCGUAGAGGGGGGUAGAAUUCCAGGUGUAGCGGUGAAAUGCGUAGAGAUCUGGAGGAAUACCGGUGGCGAAGGCGGCCCCCUGGACGAAGACUGACGCUCAGGUGCGAAAGCGUGGGGAGCAAACA
Molecule: ribosomal RNA, 427 nt
Filed under: uncultured bacterium
Lineage: Bacteria
Description: partial 16S ribosomal RNA
Rfam family: Bacterial small subunit ribosomal RNA
Source: RNAcentral